UACGUAGGUGGCAAGCGUUGUCCGGAUUUAUUGGGCGUAAAGCGCGCGCAGGUGGUUCCUUAAGUCUGAUGUGAAAUCUCGCGGCUCAACCGCGAGCGGUCAUUGGAAACUGGGGAACUUGAGUGCAGAAGAGGAUAGUGGAAUUCCAAGUGUAGCGGUGAAAUGCGUAGAGAUUUGGAGGAACACCAGUGGCGAAGGCGACUGUCUGGUCUGUAACUGACACUGAGGCGCGAAAGCGUGGGGAGCAAACAGG
Molecule: ribosomal RNA, 253 nt
Filed under: uncultured bacterium
Lineage: Bacteria
Description: partial 16S ribosomal RNA
Rfam family: Bacterial small subunit ribosomal RNA
Source: RNAcentral